GUUUCCGUAGUGUAGUGGUUAUCACGUUUGCCUCACAUGCAAAAGGUCCCCAGUUCGAAACUGGGCGGAAACA
This 73-nucleotide transfer RNA is filed under the name Danionella translucida. It matches the Rfam family "tRNA". Rfam says of the family: Transfer RNA (tRNA) molecules are approximately 80 nucleotides in length. Lineage: Eukaryota; Metazoa; Chordata; Actinopteri; Cypriniformes; Danionidae. RNAcentral also lists the same sequence under 1 other name. The record is from Rfam by way of RNAcentral.